AGAGCCGCGUCCCCGGCCGGGAGCCGCUGCCUCACGCGCAGUCGAAGCACGAGCUCGGCUUUGUGCUUCACGAGCCAAAUUCUGUAAAAAGCACAGGGGGGAAGAGAAAUAAAUCUCUGGAUGAGCUGCGAUAAGCAGAGCAAGUCAUCCGGGGCGAAUCGAAGGGCUCGCCGCAAUUCAGCUGUCCGCUCCUUCCCUCCCGUGGCAGCCGGAGCGGGCAGAACCGCCGGGUCCGAAACGCUGCGGCCCAGGGCUGCGUUAAAACCCGGGGCCGGAACCGGGGCUCGGGAAACGCGGUCCCAGGAGCCAACACCGCAGCGCGUUCCUCCCGCAGCCCCGGGCCGCGGCGUGCCCCGCUUCCACCCGCGGGCUGAGGAUGCUGUCAUCCACACCGCGCCAUGCGAAGAGGAGGCGGCGAGGAACAAGGAGCAGUUCCCAGAGCUGAUGGAUCUCGGCCCCGGCCCGGCGCUGCGGGCCUGGCUGCUGGAGCCCGGCUUCGGGCUCGAGGAGGCGAAGACCCACCCGCACGCGCUCGUGUUGCAGCAGCCCGAUUUCCAGCAGCCCGAUUUCCAGCAGCCCGAUUUCCAGCAGCCCGCUGCCGAGGAGCCCAGCGCCCCGGGAGGCGACGCCAGCCCCGCUGCCGAGCCGCAGAAAAAGAGCAAGAAGAGGAAAAGGACGAGCAACGCGCAGCCGCACAGAAAGGUCCCAUCUCGGGACGCGCUGGCUGCUCUCGAGUCCCCGGGACGUGGCUGCAGAUCCCUGGCAGCCCCAGCUGAGGGGCGUCUACUUCCCCCUGCAGUUCCUGGCUCCUGGCCUGUUCUUCCCCCUCCUCCCAGGCCUAGUGCUGAGUGGGAGUGAAGCCUUGGCACACAGGGACGGCUGCCGCGCCUGCGACCCUUGUACCAGUACAUCAACCUCCCCACGCCAGAGCUGAUGAGCCCAUGGGAAGGUGAUGGCGCAGCACCAGCGGGUAGGGGAGCAGCUCCAGGGCUGGAGAGAGAGCUCCAGCAAGGUUCAGUGAGCACACUUGAUGGCUGGGAGUCCCUCUGAGAAGCCCACAGCAGAUGAGAGCACUCGGAGCCAAGCACCAGCCAAGCUCCCACCCUUCAGAGCAGCGCUUCAGUACGCUUGUUUCUG
RNA transcript from Numida meleagris (helmeted guineafowl), 1137 nucleotides. It is a transcript of the gene named chromosome 10 C16orf86 homolog, with no coding region annotated. The transcript is spliced from 6 exons. NCBI's taxonomy places the organism in Eukaryota, Metazoa, Chordata, Aves, Galliformes, Numididae. The record is from RefSeq and is a predicted model, not a curated record.